UAGGGAAUCUUCCACAAUGGACGAAAGUCUGAUGGAGCACCGCCGCGUGAGUGAAGAAGGGUUUCGGCUCGUAAAACUCUGUUGUUAAAGAAGAACAUAUCUGAGAGUAACUGUUCAGGUAUUGACGGUAUUUAACCAGAAAGCCACGGCUAACUACGUGCCGG
This 164-nucleotide ribosomal RNA is filed under the name uncultured bacterium. RNAcentral describes it as "partial 16S ribosomal RNA". It matches the Rfam family "Bacterial small subunit ribosomal RNA", at positions 355 to 511 of the family's 1533-position model. The record is from RNAcentral.